GAAUUCCAUGAAAUAAAUUUAUGAUCUCAAUUCUUUAUCGAUUGAAAUAGCAGAAAUUUGAGAAGACUUGCGUCAAAGGGCAAUUAAAAAGGCAAAACUAAAAUGCAGAAAUUGGGUAUCGACUUAAAAAUUCGUAUACGAAGACGGCUUAAAAUGCCAGGAGAGUUUACCAGUGUCGUAGGAUUAUCUGUGAAGAUGAAAUCAAUCGCAUCAGGAAAACAGCAUUCGAUAAUUUUACACAAGAAAUCAAAUAAGAUUCACUCACCUAAAUUAUCUUAUUUCAAAAUUUGGAUUUAUAGGAUUAAUAGCAUCACCAGCCACGGUACAAUUCCCCCUGUAGGGGAUACGUUCAAUCAUUGAAAAAAGAAGUAGCAAAGCUCCACGCCAUGAAAUUCCAGCGAGGAAGCGAGAACCGACCAACAUACCAAACGCUUCUCACUCUUAUUUUUGAAGUGCCCCCGUUGCCGGCGUCCUGGCCUAGGGGUACCAUGUCUUCCCCGUGAUCUAGGCGUUCUGGGUUCGAGUCCUGGUUCGGGCAUGGUUGUUCUCUUCCUUGAGUUCUCUCUGUGAGGGCAGUCUCAAGGAACUAUUGUAUCGAGAUAUAGUAACUACACAAACGGACCUAACAGCUCGUCUGCAUGCUGCUUGUACUUUGGAGAACACUGAGCUGCUGCGAUGUGUGCAGGCAUUCAUUCCAUUUCACGCUCAAGUCUGCCUCGAUAUGCAUGACGGAAGCUGUGUGCCAUACAGGUACAGCUAUUUGGGCAUUUUUAUGUACUCCCGACUUAUAAUCUGGAUGUGCAGAGUUUGGUUAGUAUAUAGGGAGUACUCUGUAUAUAAAAUGUGAAACUUUGAGGAGUUAAUUGACAUAUUAUUUUUUCUUUUUUAUGAUUGAUGCAAAAUUGUAUCUUCAUUGUAUCUUUAUUUUCCCAGAUGGGGUUUUGCUCCUUACAUCUCUAUAAUAUAAACUAUUUGUUAUAAGAAAUUUUGUCUGAAGUAGUUCCCGGGUAUCGGAAAUAUCCUAAAUGCUCCCUCACACUUGAGUGGAGCCAAUUUAUUUUUAUGAUUACGGGGAUAUACAGUAACAAGAAAAGAUGACUUCAUUUAAAUAAAAAUAAUUAAUUUUCAACUUUCUGUGCCUUUUGAUAAGGUGCUAAGGGGGAAAAAAAGCCAAAUUUUAUUUUCUACAUUCUUGU
This is a long non-coding RNA of Argiope bruennichi, 1196 nucleotides long. RefSeq lists it as uncharacterized. Lineage: Eukaryota; Metazoa; Arthropoda; Arachnida; Araneae; Araneidae. The record is from RefSeq and is a predicted model, not a curated record. The transcript is spliced from 3 exons.